AGUAAAAGUCGUAACAAGGUUUCCGUAGGUGAACCUGCGGAAGGAUCAUUACGCGUAUUAGGGCGCUCCGGCGCUCUUUGCACACCCACCCUUUGCCUAUGCGUACCUCCAUAGCUUCCUCGGCGGGCUCGCCCCGCCGGCAGGAACCCCACAAACCACUUGCAUCCUACGCGAAAACUUCUGAUAACAACCCAAUAAAUCACAACUUUCAACAAUGGAUCUCUUGGUUCUGGCAUCGAUGAAGAACGCAGCGAAAUGCGAUAAGUAGUGUGAAUUGCAGAAUUCAGUGAAUCAUCGAAUCUUUGAACGCACAUCGCGGCCAUUGGUAUUCCUUUGGCCAUGCCUGUUCGAGCGUCAUUUACACCCUCAAGCCCCGGCUUGGUGUUGGGCGUCUGUCCCGCGGUUCCUCGCGCGGACUCGCCUCAAAGUCAUUGGCGGCGGUCGUGCCGGCUCCUCGCGCAGCACAUUUUGCGCUUCUUGGAAGCCCGGCGGAUCCGCGCUCCAGCAAGACCUCUCCACGACUUGACCUCGGAUCAGGUAGGGAUACCCGCUGAACUUAAGCAUAUCAAUAAGCGGAGGAAAAGAAACCAACAGGGAUUGCCCCAGUAACG
Molecule: ribosomal RNA, 611 nt
Filed under: uncultured fungus
Lineage: Eukaryota; Fungi
Description: eukaryotic LSU rRNA
Rfam family: 5.8S ribosomal RNA (bases 204-357)
Source: RNAcentral